RNAcentral lists this ribosomal RNA (461 nucleotides) under Bradyrhizobium elkanii. RNAcentral describes it as "bacterial LSU rRNA". It matches the Rfam family "Bacterial large subunit ribosomal RNA", at positions 1 to 423 of the family's 2925-position model. The record is from RNAcentral. Lineage: Bacteria; Pseudomonadati; Pseudomonadota; Alphaproteobacteria; Hyphomicrobiales; Nitrobacteraceae.
AAUCAAGUGCCUUAAGGGUGUUCGGUGGAUGCCUUGGCGCUGAGAGGCGAUGAAGGACGUGCUACGCUGCGAUAAGCCGUGGGGAGCUGCGAAGAAGCUUUGAUCCGCGGAUUUCCGAAUGGGGAAACCCACCUUCGAUAGCCGGAACUCCAAGACCUUGUGUGUUGGGGUUCGACCAGAAAUGCGAGAAAUCAAACCGCGAGGUUUUGGAUUUCCGGUUAUCAAGAGAAGGUAUGAGACCUCCGAAUAAAAUAGGAGGUUUUAAGCAAACCCAGGGAACUGAAACAUCUAAGUACCUGGAGGAAAGGACAUCAAUCGAGACUCCGUUAGUAGUGGCGAGCGAACGCGGACCAGGCCAGUGAUACAUCAAAGACAAUCGGAACCUGUCAGGAAAGCAGGGCCUCAGAGGGUGAUAGCCCCGUACGAGUAAUGCGAUGAUGUAUCCACGAGUACGGCGGAAC